CUCAAAGCUGACCGGUACAACCCGCGUGCUUGCCUACUCGUCCCGGCCUAUUUGUACCCAGCUACAAUCUCUUCCCUUAUAAAAGAAAAAAGGGCCCCUCGGCCAAUCGUCACUCGACAGCUCGAAAGCGGAUCAGUAAAAAACCAUGUGAUCUGGUUAUAAAAGAAAAAAGGCCCUCUCGGCCAAUCGUCACUUGACUGCUUGAAAGCGGAUCAGUAAAAAACCACAUGAUCUGUACUUGUUUACGUACUGCCCUUAGGCCUAGGGCUUCGUCAUACCCUGCUUACUCCUCUUUCACUUUCACU
Molecule: long non-coding RNA, 305 nt
Filed under: Nicotiana benthamiana
Lineage: Eukaryota; Viridiplantae; Streptophyta; Magnoliopsida; Solanales; Solanaceae
Description: long non-coding RNA (NBEN_LNC030579)
Source: RNAcentral